RNAcentral lists this ribosomal RNA (462 nucleotides) under uncultured bacterium. RNAcentral's name for it is "bacterial SSU rRNA". It matches the Rfam family "Bacterial small subunit ribosomal RNA", at positions 29 to 507 of the family's 1533-position model. The record is from RNAcentral.
AACAAACGCUGGCGGCGUGCCUAAUACAUGCAAGUCGAACGGGGAAAGCUUUCGGGUGAGUACUAGUGGCGCACGGGUGAGUAACGCGUGGAUAAUCUGCCUUGAAGAGGGGGAUAACCAGCCGAAAGAUUGGCUAAUACCGCAUAAGACCACAGGGACUGAGGUUCUAGGGGUCAAAGGUUUUUCGCUUCAAGAUGAGUCCGCGUAAGAUUAGCUAGUUGGUAGGGUAAUGGCCUACCAAGGCAACGAUCUUUAACUGGUCUGAGAGGAUGAUCAGUCACACUGGAACUGAGACACGGUCCAGACUCCUACGGGAGGCAGCAGUAGGGAGUAUUGCACAAUGGAGGAAACUCUGAUGCAGCGACGCCGCGUGAGUGAUGAAGGCCUUCGGGUCGUAAAGCUCUGUCGCAGGGGAAUAAGACAGUGAAUGUACCCUGUAAGAAAGGAUCGGCUAACUUCGUG